This 325-nucleotide ribosomal RNA is filed under the name uncultured bacterium. Its description in RNAcentral is "bacterial SSU rRNA". It matches the Rfam family "Bacterial small subunit ribosomal RNA", at positions 28 to 334 of the family's 1533-position model. The record is from RNAcentral.
GACGAACGCUGGCGGCGCGCCUAACACAUGCAAGUCGAACGGAGCUAUUUCGAUAGAUCCCUUCGGGGUGACAUUGGCUUAGCUUAGUGGCGAACGGGUGAGUAACACGUGAGGAACCUGCCCUUCAGAGGGGGACAACAGUUGGAAACGACUGCUAAUACCGCAUAAGACCACAGGGUCGCAUGACCCAGUGGUAAAAACUCCGGUGGUAUGAGAUGGACCCGCGUCUGAUUAGCUAGUUGGUGGGGUAACGGCUCACCAAGGCGACGAUCAGUAGCCGACCUGAGAGGGUGACCGGCCACAUUGGGACUGAGACACGGCCCAA